RNAcentral lists this long non-coding RNA (440 nucleotides) under Monodelphis domestica (gray short-tailed opossum). RNAcentral's name for it is "lncRNA (ENSMODG00000039532.1)". The record is from RNAcentral. Lineage: Eukaryota; Metazoa; Chordata; Mammalia; Didelphimorphia; Didelphidae.
CUUCUCAUUAGCUAGGGGUUUAAAAUUUAAAAUAUAGUUCAUACUAAUGAUCCCUUUUCAAAUUUUCAGGAAAGCAUUCUCCUAGGAGGUUGUACCUGAGUCCAUCACUGAAGGAAGAUAAGGAUACUAAGAGACUAAGUGCUUUGAAGACUUAUGAGAACUUCUUGGAGAGACGUAUGACCCUCUAAAGAAAAGGCUCCUUACCUCUGACCUACAUUUUCUACUUCUAUGGUUCACUCUUCCUUAUAACUUCAAUAAGUAUUCAAAUUGCAUGAACUCAAGACUCUCCACAAUCCUUCCAGCCCUCAAGAAGCAGAGCUAUUUACUGGUAAUUCAGGUUCUUCUUUUGAGCAAUGGUAUCCAUUUGUAAAACUGCUUUUUAGGAUUAUGGCAUGCAGUUUUGGCCACAGAACAGCUAAUGUAAAUGACAUAGAUAGGGA